RNAcentral lists this ribosomal RNA (253 nucleotides) under uncultured bacterium. RNAcentral describes it as "partial 16S ribosomal RNA". It matches the Rfam family "Bacterial small subunit ribosomal RNA", at positions 524 to 776 of the family's 1533-position model. The record is from RNAcentral.
UACGUAGGGGGCAAGCGUUGUCCGGGUUUAUUGGGCGUAAAGAGCGUGUAGGCGGCCAUACAGGUCAGCUGUGAAAACUCGAGGCUCAACCUCGAGACGUCGGUUGAAACCGUAUGGCUAGAGUCCGGAAGAGGAGAGUGGAAUUCCCGGUGUAGCGGUGAAAUGCGCAGAUAUCGGGAAGAACACCCGUGGCGAAGGCGGCUCUCUGGGACGGUACUGACGCUGAGACGCGAAAGCGUGGGGAGCGAACAGG